Molecule: long non-coding RNA, 239 nt
Filed under: Homo sapiens (human)
Lineage: Eukaryota; Metazoa; Chordata; Mammalia; Primates; Hominidae
Description: HSALNT0315314
Source: RNAcentral
UACGUUCUCAACCUCAUUUCCAUUUGAUUCUCGGAUCUCACAGGAAUCCUUCAACUGCUUUCUACCAAGCGUUCCAUUUGAACACGUUAAAGGAAUCAAAGAGCCUCUGGGAUAGGUGCUGCAACCUGUACUGGAUGUUUGGGGAUAGAAAGAUGAAUGGGACAUGAUUUGUGUGCUCCAAUGAGCUCAGUCCAGUAGAUGAAGUCUUGCUAUGUUGCCCAGGCUGGCUUUGAACUCCU